CAAUAGCGUAUAUUAAAGUUGUUGCGGUUAAAAAGCUCGUAGUUGGAUUUCUGCCGAGGACGACCGGUCCGCCCUCUGGGUGAGUAUCUGGUUCGGCCUGGGCAUCUUCUUGGAGAACGUAUCUGCACUUGACUGUGUGGUGCGGUAUCCAGGACUUUUACUUUUGAGGAAAUUAGAGUGUUUCAAGCAGGCACACGCCUUGAAUACAUUAGCAUGGAAUAAUGAUAUAGGCAUGUGUGUCUAUUUUGUUGGUUUCUAGACGCACGUGAAUGAUUAAUAGGGACUGUUGGGGGCAUUCGUAUUAUGACGUCAGAGGUGGAAUUCUUGGAUUGUCAUACGACGAACUACUGCGAAAGCAUUUGCCAAGGAUGUUUUUCAUUGAUCAAGAACGAAAGUAAGGGGAUCGAAGACGAUUAGAUACCA
RNAcentral lists this ribosomal RNA (423 nucleotides) under uncultured eukaryote. RNAcentral describes it as "bacterial SSU rRNA". It matches the Rfam family "Eukaryotic small subunit ribosomal RNA", at positions 592 to 1017 of the family's 1831-position model. The record is from RNAcentral.